This 459-nucleotide ribosomal RNA is filed under the name uncultured bacterium. Its description in RNAcentral is "partial 16S ribosomal RNA". It matches the Rfam family "Bacterial small subunit ribosomal RNA", at positions 338 to 795 of the family's 1533-position model. The record is from RNAcentral.
CCUACGUGUGGCUGCAGUGAGGAAUAUUGGUCAAUGGGCGGGAGCCUGAACCAGCCAUGCCGCGUGAAGGCGAGUGCCCUACGGGCGUUAAACUUCUUUUGUGCGGGAGCAAUAAGGGCCACGCGUGGCCCGAUGAGAGUACCGCACGAAUAAGCAUCGGCUAACUCCGUGCCAGCAGCCGCGGUAACACGGGGGAUGCGAGCGUUAUCCGGAUUGAUUGGGGUUAAAGGGUGCGCAGGCGGCGCUGCAGGGCAGCGGUGAAAGACAGGGGCUCAACACCGGGGCUGCCGUUGAAACCGGAGCGCUAGAAUUCCGAUGCGGACGGAGGAAUGUGUGGUGUAGCGGUGAAAUGCAUAGAUAUCAGACAGAACACCGAUUGCGAAGGCGUCUGACGAGUCGGAGAUUGACGCUGAUGCACGAAAGCGUGGGUAUCGAACAGGAUUAGAUACCCCGGUAGUC